GACAGAGGGUGCAAACGUUGUUCGGAUUCAUUGGGCGUAAAGGGUGCGUAGGCGGUCGUGCAAGUCGGAUGUGAAAUCUCAGGGCUCAACCCUGAAACUGCAUUCGAUACUGCGCGGCUAGAGUGCUGGAGGGGAGACUGGAAUUUACGGUGUAGCAGUGAAAUGCGUAGAUAUCGUAAGGAAGACCAGUGGCGAAGGCGAGUCUCUGGACAGCAACUGACGCUGAGGCACGAAGGCCAGGGGAGCAAACGGG
RNAcentral lists this ribosomal RNA (253 nucleotides) under uncultured bacterium. RNAcentral's name for it is "partial 16S ribosomal RNA". It matches the Rfam family "Bacterial small subunit ribosomal RNA", at positions 524 to 776 of the family's 1533-position model. The record is from RNAcentral.